GAUGAACGCUGGCGGCGUGCCUAAUACAUGCAAGUCGAGCGAACAGACGAGGAGCUUGCUCCUCUGACGUUAGCGGCGGACGGGUGAGUAACACGUGGAUAACCUACCUAUAAGACUGGGAUAACUUCGGGAAACCGGAGCUAAUACCGGAUAAUAUAUUGAACCGCAUGGUUCAAUAGUGAAAGACGGUUUUGCUGUCACUUAUAGAUGGAUCCGCGCCGCAUUAGCUAGUUGGUAAGGUAACGGCUUACCAAGGCAACGAUGCGUAGCCGACCUGGGAGGGUGAUCGGCCACACUGGAACUGAGACACGGUCCAGACUCCUACGGAAGGCAGCAGUAGGGAAUCUUCCGCAAUGGGCGGAAGCCUGACGGAGCAACGCCGCGUGAGUGAUGAAGGUCUUCGGAUCGUAAAACUCUGUUAUUAGGGAAGAACAAAUGUGUAAGUAACUAUGCUCGUCUUGACGGUACCUAAUCAGAAAGCCACGGCUAACUACGUG
RNAcentral lists this ribosomal RNA (497 nucleotides) under uncultured bacterium. RNAcentral describes it as "partial 16S ribosomal RNA". It matches the Rfam family "Bacterial small subunit ribosomal RNA", at positions 28 to 507 of the family's 1533-position model. The record is from RNAcentral.